Molecule: long non-coding RNA, 230 nt
Filed under: Phaseolus vulgaris (common bean)
Lineage: Eukaryota; Viridiplantae; Streptophyta; Magnoliopsida; Fabales; Fabaceae
Description: long non-coding RNA (PVUL_LNC000371)
Source: RNAcentral
GCACCUCCAACAGCUCCUCCUAACCCACCUGCAGCACCAAAGCCCGUCGAGCCCGGCCCACCAUAUCCACCAUAAGGCCCACCCAUCCCAGCACCGUAUCCUCCAGCACCGGCCAUUGAACCGGGUACGGGAUUGGACGAAUUCAGAGGAUGAUUAUGGUUACCCAACGGAGGCUGUCCACCAAAACCACCAUACGAACCCAACGCAACCGGUCCUCCAUACUGCGGGCC